Molecule: ribosomal RNA, 746 nt
Filed under: uncultured Parvimonas sp.
Lineage: Bacteria; Bacillati; Bacillota; Tissierellia; Tissierellales; Peptoniphilaceae
Description: bacterial SSU rRNA
Rfam family: Bacterial small subunit ribosomal RNA
Source: RNAcentral
GACGAACGCUGGCGGCGUGCUUAACACAUGCAAGUCGAACGUGAUUUUUGUGGAAAUUCUUUCGGGAAUGGAAAUGAAAUGAAAGUGGCGAACGGGUGAGUAACACGUGAGCAACCUACCUUACACAGGGGGAUAGCCGUUGGAGACGACGAUUAAUACCGCAUGAGACCACAGAAUCGCAUGAUAUAGGGGUCAAAGAUUUAUCGGCGUAAGAAGGGCUCGCGUCUGAUUAGCUAGUUGGAAGGGUAAAGGCCUACCAAGGCGACGAUCAGUAGCCGGUCUGAGAGGAUGAACGGCCACAUUGGAACUGAGACACGGUCCAAACUCCUACGGGAGGCAGCAGUGGGGAAUAUUGCACAAUGGGGGGAACCCUGAUGCAGCGACGCCGCGUGAGCGAAGAAGGUUUUCGAAUCGUAAAGCUCUGUCCUAUGAGAAGAUAAUGACGGUAUCAUAGGAGGAAGCCCCGGCUAAAUACGUGCCAGCAGCCGCGGUAAUACGUAUGGGGCGAGCGUUGUCCGGAAUUAUUGGGCGUAAAGGGUACGUAGGCGGUUUUUUAAGUCAGGUGUGAAAGCGUGGGGCUUAACCUCAUUAAGCACUUGAAACUGGAAGACUUGAGUGAAGGAGAGGAAAGUGGAAUUCCUAGUGUAGCGGUGAAAUGCGUAGAUAUUAGGAGGAAUACCGGUGGCGAAGGCGACUUUCUGGACUUUUACUGACGCUCAGGUACGAAAGCGUGGGGAGCAAACAGG